AGAGUUUGAUCAUGGCUCAGAUUGAACGCUGGCGGCAGGCCUAACACAUGCAAGUCGAGCGGUAGAGAGAAGCUUGCUUCUCUUGAGAGCGGCGGACGGGUGAGUAAUGCCUAGGAAUCUGCCUGGUAGUGGGGGAUAACGUCCGGAAACGGACGCUAAUACCGCAUACGUCCUACGGGGGAAAGCAGGGGACCUUCGGGCCUUGCGCUAUCAGAUGAGCCUAGGUCGGAUUAGCUAGUUGGUGGGGUAAUGGCUCACCAAGGCGACGAUCCGUAACUGGUCUGAGAGGAUGAUCAGUCACACUGGAACUGAGACACGGUCCAGACUCCUACGGGAGGCAGCAGUGGGGAAUAUUGGACAAUGGGCGAAAGCCUGAUCCAGCCAUGCCGCGUGUGUGAAGAAGGUCUUCGGAUUGUAAAGCACUUUAAGUUGGGAGGAAGGGCAGUAAAUUAAUACCUUGCUGUUUUGACGUUACCGACAGAAUAAGCACCGGCUAACUCUGUGCCAGCAGCCGCGGUAAUACAGAGGGUGCAAGCGUUAAUCGGAAUUACUGGGCGUAAAGCGCGCGUAGGUGGUUCGUUAAGUUGGAUGUGAAAUCCCCGGGCUCAACCUGGGAACUGCAUUCAAAACUGACGAGCUAGAGUAUGGUAGAGGGUGGUGGAAUUUCCUGUGUAGCGGUGAAAUGCGUAGAUAUAGGAAGGAACACCAGUGGCGAAGGCGACCACCUGGACUGAUACUGACACUGAGGUGCGAAAGCGUGGGGAGCAAACAGGAUUAGAUACCCUGGUAGU
Molecule: ribosomal RNA, 791 nt
Filed under: uncultured bacterium
Lineage: Bacteria
Description: bacterial SSU rRNA
Rfam family: Bacterial small subunit ribosomal RNA
Source: RNAcentral